AAUAUUUCUUUCGUUUUUUCUUUAAAUUACUUUCGCUUUAUUACUUCCUCUAUCUGCUGGGUGCUGAUUAUCUUUUGGGUCCUCCUGUUUGGUAGCUGAGAAAUCUCGGGAAAACGAACAAUUAAGUGGGAAUUUUUUAAUGGACUGAGUUUCGAAAAGACUGUUAAAUUCCAUGUUUUUUCCUUCUUUAGUUUUUCCCAGAAACCAAAAGUCUGCCAUUUUCUUUUUCUGGAUGAAUAACUCUGUUUUUUUUUUUUUUCCUUUGUUUUUGUAUUUGUUUUAGCGUAAGAUUAGUGGCUACAAUGUUUGUUCUUGGCUGCCUGUUAAGUUGUAAUGAAAAAAGCAGGCUCAUUUAUUUGUUUUUUUUCGUUACGUAUUUCUCUGCUUCAUCACUCGUCAAACUAGAUCUGAUGUAGAUCUCUGUAUACGGUGAGAUCUGCACUGGAGAGCCUGUUAUCUUGAUUAUCCAUCUAAAUUGUUCAUUUUCUUCUGUUGACUUGAAGAUAAUGCUGCAACUCUGGUCAAAGCAGUACUUAAAAUUCACGUUUAGGGUUAUAUUUAUUGGAUUAAAUUUUCUCUUUCUCGAUAAUAGUUUAGUUAGACAGCAGGAAACUUUCUUUCUUUCCUUCUUUUAAAAAAAUAAAUUACAACGAAUUGUAUGAUAUUGAUAAUCUGCAAUGACUGGAAGGUUGUUCAGAAAACUCUGUUGAGUUUGAUUUCUGUUGCAUGCAAAUGAGCCAAAUUUGUGUUGAGCUUUUGGUGUUAAUACUACAUUUCAUCCUUGGGUUGUAAUACUAAUUUAGGGUCAUCAACACUACGUAUUUGAUGCAUUUGGGUGAUUUCAAUUUCAGAUGUUCUUGUUUGCCAACUGUAAUUAGUUGGAUUACUCAUUCUUAAGAUUUUUGAGUUGACUAAAAAGCCACCCUCUCUCUCUGCCAACCUCAUAUGUAUUAAAACUAACUAACUAAUUUUCAAAAGAAAUUAGAACUAAAGUCAACCUGUGCGGUGCUGUGAUGGUUUCUGACAUGUUAACAAGUCUGUAUAUGGAGAAUAAUAGGCUCUGUUAAAAUCUCUUCUUCUUUCUUUCUUUCUUGCCGUUUCCUUAAUCAUCCUCCGGAUUUAGUUGGAGUUCUUUGAAACAUAACUAAUGCCUUUAUGUUCACCCAUAUGCACAGGCUGGAAGCAUUGACUGAAUUCUGGCUAUACUAUCAAAGAAACAUGAAAUUUGAAUUGAAGAAAAGAUGGAGAGCCAUUGCCCCACAUCAAUUGAAAAACAAAUCAGCUGGCCGUUUUUGUUUAUUUCCCAAAUCAAAGUCAGAUCGCUCUGAUCCGAGAAAAGCACCAGUUUAUCUCAAUGUAUAUGAUUUGACACCCAUGAAUGGCUACGUCUAUUGGGCAGGCCUUGGAAUUUUUCACUCUGGUGUUGAAGUUCAUGGUGUAGAAUAUGCAUUUGGAGCACACGACUACCCUACCAGUGGUGUUUUUGAGGUUGAACCUCGCCAAUGCCCAGGAUUCAAGUUCAGGAAGUCUAUAUUUAUUGGGACCACAUCCUUGGACCCUACUCAGGUUAGGGAGUUUAUGGAGCGCCAGUCUUUGAGCUACAAUGGUGAUACAUAUCACCUGAUUGUCAAGAACUGCAACCAUUUCUGCAGGGAUAUCUGUCACAAGUUAACUGGAAAAUCGAUUCCCAAAUGGGUAAAUCGACUAGCAAAAAUAGGUUCAAUAUGCAACUGCGUACUUCCUGAAGCCCUAAAGAUUUCUGCUGUGCAACACGACCCAAACUGCCAGCCAUACGACAGCGAGAAGAGGAGUUUGAGAAGUACGUUCAGUUGUCUGUCUUCUAUUUCAAUGCGGCAGAAGCAAUUGUCAUCAUCAUCGUUAUUUCUACAGUCACCCCUAAAAGGCUGCUUACCGCCAUGGGAAUUGAGAAGGUCGAACAAUGGUUCCUUGAAGGAAAGGUGAGAGAAACUGUUCUAUAGUAUGAUGACUGGCGUGGCGUCCAUAACCUUUAAUGAGGGGAAUUUGUUGCUAAGUUUUUGUGCGUCGGCAAUUGAAAGCUGCCAUCACUCAGAUUGUUUUUGUUCUCCCAGGUUAGACGUGACAAAACUCCGCCAAGUGUAAAUUGUGCUGUUAGCGUAGCUUGUAACAUCAUUGUCUUGGCAAAUGAAUGCAUCAACGUGCAGAAACUUUGAUUCCCAUCUCAAGUAAGGCUUAGGAGGCGGGAA
Molecule: non-coding RNA, 2225 nt
Organism: Prunus avium (sweet cherry)
Lineage: Eukaryota; Viridiplantae; Streptophyta; Magnoliopsida; Rosales; Rosaceae
Source: RefSeq, a predicted model, not a curated record